Long non-coding RNA from Pan troglodytes (chimpanzee), 778 nucleotides. RefSeq lists it as uncharacterized. The record is from RefSeq and is a predicted model, not a curated record. NCBI's taxonomy places the organism in Eukaryota, Metazoa, Chordata, Mammalia, Primates, Hominidae. The transcript has 5 exons.
CUGCAGCUGCUCCUAAGAAGCCCAGCCAUCAAGCCAACUGUGACAAGGUUUCCGAAGCUGCCGUGAUUUUAUAGGGGGUUGCCUCUGCCUGGAAUGCCCUUUUCUUCCCCUGUCUGGCUAACUCCUGCUCAGGCUUAGAGAAUCAAAUCAUCAUUGCUUCAUCUGUGAAGACCUCCGCAAGCCCACUCUCACCAUCUCUGCUGCAUCACAAAUGAGGGUGGGAGAAGGAAUGUUCUCUGGAGAAAUCUGUAUGAUAGAAUAGUGAAGGUAACUGGCCUGAACUACAGCUCUUGAGCCAUCUCGUUUCACCUUCAGGGAGGUCCCACCGAAGCUGAAUGACUGUGCAGGUUGAUACACUGGACAUUUUCGGUGAAACCUGUGUGAACAGACAACUGGAGGGUCAUAUGAUUUAUCCUCUCCCCAGUACCUUGGCACAAGCCUAGGCUACAGAAUGAGAUGCAUGUAAGAAGUCUGUGACCUGGACCAGAGCAGCCCAGCUGAACACAUGCUGGAUUGGAAGAACCGCCUUUGACCUGAAGACUUGUGAGUGAGAAUAAAUGCUGUUUGAGAAAGGAGUUUGGAGACAGAAAGACGGAAGAGUUGAUAUUCCGCUCACAGAUGUCAAUUUUCAAAGAAAUUUCUGCCCAUUAUGGAUGCACCACAAAUACUAAAGUCUAUGCAAUAUAUAUUUUGAAAAGAAUUUUUUUCGUGAAACUGUAAUUUUCGUUCAUAAGAAUAUAUUUCCUGACUUAGCAUUUUAUUGACUAGAUUAAAAUUU